GUAAAGCGUGCGUAGGCGGCUUUUUAAGUCGGAUGUGAAAUCCCCGAGCUUAACUUGGGAAUUGCAUUCGAUACUGGGAAGCUAGAGUAUGGGAGAGGAUGGUAGAAUUCCAGGUGUAGCGGUGAAAUGCGUAGAGAUCUGGAGGAAUACCGAUGGCGAAGGCAGCCAUCUGGCCUAAUACUGACGCUGAGGUACGAAAGCAUGGGGAGCAAACAGGAUUAGAUACCCGU
This 230-nucleotide ribosomal RNA is filed under the name uncultured bacterium. RNAcentral describes it as "partial 16S ribosomal RNA". It matches the Rfam family "Bacterial small subunit ribosomal RNA", at positions 560 to 789 of the family's 1533-position model. The record is from RNAcentral.